Molecule: non-coding RNA, 240 nt
Organism: Vicia faba (fava bean)
Lineage: Eukaryota; Viridiplantae; Streptophyta; Magnoliopsida; Fabales; Fabaceae
Source: the annotation of a GenBank genome assembly
AUGAGUUACUUUAACAAUCAGCAGCAACAGGCACCUAUAUCAUAUCCACCACCAGCUGAAGCUUAUUCUACGUCUCAAUAUGUAACUGCACCACCACCUAUGGGUUACCCUUCCAAGGAUGGUUCUGAAAGCUAUCCUCAACAAACAAUUCCAGAUCAAACAACUACCAGAGGUGAUGGUUUCUGGAAGGGAUGUUGUGCUGCUCUAUGUUGCUGCUGUGCCAUAGAUGUCUGCUUUUAA